RNAcentral lists this ribosomal RNA (497 nucleotides) under uncultured bacterium. Its description in RNAcentral is "partial 16S ribosomal RNA". It matches the Rfam family "Bacterial small subunit ribosomal RNA", at positions 899 to 1397 of the family's 1533-position model. The record is from RNAcentral.
ACUCAAAGGAAUUGACGGGGGCCCGCACAAGCGGUGGAGCAUGUGGUUUAAUUCGACGCAACGCGAAGAACCUUACCCAGGCUCGAACGGUCACUGACAUCCUACGAAAGUAGGCUCCCGCAAGGGCAGUGAUCGAGGUGCUGCAUGGCUGUCGUCAGCUCGUGUCGUGAGAUGUUGGGUUAAGUCCCGCAACGAGCGCAACCCUUGUCUUCUGUUGCCAUCGGGUUAUGCCGGGCACUCUGAAGAGACUGCCGGUGACAAACCGGAGGAAGGUGGGGAUGACGUCAAGUCAGCAUGGCCUUUAUGUCUGGGGCCACACACGUGCUACAAUGGCCGGUACAAACCGUCGCGAUACCGCAAGGUGGAGCUAAUCGGAGAAAGCCGGUCUCAGUUCGGAUUGUAGGCUGCAACUCGCCUGCAUGAAGUUGGAAUCGCUAGUAAUCGCGGAUCAGCACGCCGCGGUGAAUACGUUCCCGGGCCUUGUACACACCGCCCGU